UACGAAGGGUGCAAGCGUUACUCGGAAUUACUGGGCGUAAAGCGUGCGUAGGUGGUUUGUUAAGUCUGUUGUGAAAGCCCCGGGCUCAACCUGGGAAUGGCAAUGGAUACUGGCAAGCUAGAGUGCGGUAGAGGGUAGUGGAAUUCCCGGUGUAGCGGUGAAAUGCGUAGAGAUCGGGAGGAACACCAGUGGCGAAGGCGGCUACCUGGACCAGCACUGGCACUGAGGCACGAAAGCGUGGGGAGCAAACAGG
This 253-nucleotide ribosomal RNA is filed under the name uncultured bacterium. RNAcentral describes it as "partial 16S ribosomal RNA". It matches the Rfam family "Bacterial small subunit ribosomal RNA", at positions 524 to 776 of the family's 1533-position model. The record is from RNAcentral.